This 580-nucleotide ribosomal RNA is filed under the name Didiscus oxeatus. RNAcentral describes it as "LSU rRNA". It matches the Rfam family "Eukaryotic large subunit ribosomal RNA", at positions 666 to 1222 of the family's 3401-position model. The record is from RNAcentral. Lineage: Eukaryota; Metazoa; Porifera; Demospongiae; Suberitida; Halichondriidae.
CCAAGGAGUGCAAGAGGCGUGCGAGUCUUUGGGCUGGCAAAACCCUCAGGCGAAAUGAGAGUGAAGGGGGCUUCCAGCCUCCGAGGCGAGAGCCCGUGUCAGUGCGGGCGCAUCGUCGACCGAUCCCAGGCUACGCUGUGGCGGGAUUCGAGUGAGAGCGUGCCUGUUGCGACCCGAAAGAUGGUGAACUAUGCCUGAAUGGGGCGAAGCCAGAGGAAACUCUGGUGGAAGCUCGCAGCGGUUCUGACGUGCAAAUCGAUCGUCAAAUUUGGGUAUAGGGGCGAAAGACUAAUCGAACCGUCUAGUAGCUGGUUCCCUCCGAAGUUUCCCCCAGGAUAGCUGGAGCCCGGUGCAGUUUUAUCAGGUAAAGCGAAUGAUUAGAGGUCUUGGGGUUGAAACAACCUCAACCUAUUCUCAAACUUUAAAUGGGUAAGAAGCUCGGCUUGCUCGGUUGAAGUCGGGCGUGGGAAUGCCGGGGCUCCUAGUGGGCCAUUUUUGGUAAGCAGAACUGGCGAUGCGGGAUGAACCGAACGCCGGGUUAAGGUGCCCGAAUCGACGCUCAUCAGAUCCCAUAAAAGGU